RNAcentral lists this long non-coding RNA (490 nucleotides) under Anas platyrhynchos platyrhynchos (common mallard). Its description in RNAcentral is "lncRNA (ENSAPLG00000026742.1)". Lineage: Eukaryota; Metazoa; Chordata; Aves; Anseriformes; Anatidae. The record is from RNAcentral.
AGGGCUCCUCUCUAAUACAGAUAGGUUCCUGCCCAGUAUCAGCUUCAGUGUUGAUGCCUCUGACGUGAUCUAGCUGAAACCCUGGCCUAGUGCUUACAGCAUAAAGGAACAUGAGUGAACUGUUAUCUGGAGUGCAUACAGAAAGCUGUGAGUCUGCUUUGAAAGUACUGCUCACUCAGACGAAAGGAAGCCUGUGUACAUGGUUUGGAGGGAGCCUUCUUAGUUUCUAGUGCGGUCUUUGGAGAUGUUUCCAGAGAUAUGCAAUGACAUGCACCUUCCUGCAACCUUCAAGGCCAGAAAGACUGGGAAGUUGAAGAGUUGGAAUUAGUGAAUGAGCUUUUACACCAAGUAUCAAAACUUCCUUUUUCCUACCUUAUUCUUGCAUGGUCAGAGGUAAAUCAUGUUAUGUUACCAGGUGGGUCAUUCUGUCUGCAACCUGUUAUUUUAUUCAGUUUCAUCUUAAAUCAAAUUAAAUUCACAUUUAAAUCCA